Molecule: ribosomal RNA, 506 nt
Filed under: uncultured bacterium
Lineage: Bacteria
Description: partial 16S ribosomal RNA
Rfam family: Bacterial small subunit ribosomal RNA
Source: RNAcentral
AUUGAACGCUGGCGGCAGGCCUAACACAUGCAAGUCGAACGGCAGCGGGGGAUAGCUUGCUAUCCUGCCGGCGAGUGGCGGACGGGUGAGUAAUGCAUGGGGAGCUGCCCAGUCGAGAGGGAUAACAACUGGAAACGGUUGCUAAUACCGCAUACGCCCUUUGGGGGAAAGGUGGGGAACUUCGGUCCUACCGCGAGUGGAUGCGCCCAUGUGGGAUUAGCUAGUUGGUGAGGUAACGGCUCACCAAGGCGACGAUCUCUAGCUGGUCUGAGAGGAUGACCAGCCACACUGGAACUGAGACACGGUCCAGACUCCUACGGGAGGCAGCAGUGGGGAAUAUUGCACAAUGGGGGAAACCCUGAUGCAGCCAUGCCGCGUGUGUGAAGAAGGCCUUCGGGUUGUAAAGCACUUUCAGUCAGGAGGAAGGGGUGAUGGCUAAUAUCCAUCAUCAUUGACGUUACUGACAGAAGAAGCACCGGCUAACUCCGUGCCAGCCGCCGCGGUAA